AAAGGGGGAACCCGGCCUAAACAUGCUCGUCGAGCGGCAGCGGAAGUAGGUUUGCUACUUUGCCGGCGAGCGGCGGACGGGUGAGUAGUGUCUGGGAAACUGCCUGAUGGAGGGGGAUAACUACUGGAAACGGUAUCUAAUACCGCAUAACGUCGCAAGACCAAAGAGGGGGACCUUCGGCCCUCUUGCCAUCAUAUGUGCCCAGAUGGGAUUAUCUAGUAGGGGGGGUAGUGUCUCACCUAGGCCACUAUCCCUAUGUGGUCUGAGAGGAUGACCACCCACUCUGGAUCUGACACACGGCCCACACUCCUACGGGAGGCAGCAGGGGGGAAUUUUGCACAGUGGGCGCAACCCUGAUGCACCCAUGCCGCGUGUAUGAAAAAGGCCUUCGGGUUGUAAAGUACUUUCAGCGAAGAAGAAGGUUUUAAGGUUAAUACCCUUGGUGAUUGACGUUACUCACAAAAAAAACACCGGCUAUCUCCGUGCCAGCACCCGCGGUAAUACGGAGGGUGCAAGCGUUUAUCGGAAUUACUGGGCGUAAAGCGCACGCAGGCGGUCUGUCAAGUCGGAUGAGAUAUCCCCGGUCUCAACCUGGGAUCUGCAUUCGAAACUGGCAGGCUAGAGUCUUGUAGAGGGGGGUAGAAUUCCAUGUGUAGCGGAGAUAUGCAUAGAUAUCUGGAAGAAUACCGGGGGAGAGCGCGGCCCCCUGGACAAACACUGACUCUCAUGUGCGAAAGCGUGGGGAGCAAACAAGAUUAUAUACCCUGAUACUCCACGCCGUAAAAGAUGUCCACUUGGGGGGUGUUCUCUUGAAGAGUGUCCUCCGGAUCUCACGUGAUAACUACACCGCCUGGGAGAGCACGGCCGCAAGGAUAAAACUCAUAUGUAUUUGACGGGGCCCCGCACAAGCGGGGGGAGUAUGUGGUUUUAUUUCUAUCGCAGCGAAAAACCUUUACCUACUCUUUGAUCUCCAGAGAUCUUUACAGAUGUGGUUUGGGUGCUUCGAAACUGAGAACGGGUGCUGCUUGGUUGUCCUCACUCGUGUUGGAAGUGUGGGGAUAGCCCGAAAGACGACACCUUAUAUCCUUGUUGUGCAGCGUGCCGCGCGGAACUCAGGAGAGCUCUGCGCAGUGUAUAUACCUGGAAGACGGUGGGAUAGACUCUCUACUGUGGCCUUAGCAAGUGGGCUUAACCGGUGCUCCACUGGUCCAUCAAGAACGGACCCUGCGAAUGCAGGCGGACUCUCUGAUAUCG
This 1254-nucleotide ribosomal RNA is filed under the name Enterobacter asburiae. RNAcentral's name for it is "bacterial SSU rRNA". It matches the Rfam family "Bacterial small subunit ribosomal RNA", at positions 32 to 1283 of the family's 1533-position model. Lineage: Bacteria; Pseudomonadati; Pseudomonadota; Gammaproteobacteria; Enterobacterales; Enterobacteriaceae. The record is from RNAcentral.